This 253-nucleotide ribosomal RNA is filed under the name uncultured bacterium. RNAcentral's name for it is "partial 16S ribosomal RNA". It matches the Rfam family "Bacterial small subunit ribosomal RNA", at positions 524 to 776 of the family's 1533-position model. The record is from RNAcentral.
UACGUAGGUGGCAAGCGUUGUCCGGAUUUAUUGGGCGUAAAGCGCGCGCAGGCGGUCCUUUAAGUCUGAUGUGAAAUCUUGCGGCUCAACCGCAAGCGGUCAUUGGAAACUGGGGGACUUGAGUACAGAAGAGGAAAGCGGAAUUCCACGUGUAGCGGUGAAAUGCGUAGAGAUGUGGAGGAACACCAGUGGCGAAGGCGGCUUUCUGGUCUGUAACUGACGCUGAGGCGCGAAAGCAUGGGGAGCGAACAGG